Small nuclear RNA from Onychomys torridus (southern grasshopper mouse), 108 nucleotides. The record is from RefSeq and is a predicted model, not a curated record. NCBI's taxonomy places the organism in Eukaryota, Metazoa, Chordata, Mammalia, Rodentia, Cricetidae.
AUGCUCUACUGACUGAGCACAUAUACUAAAACUGGAAUGAUUCAGAGAAGAUUAGCAUGGCCCCUGCACAAGGAUGGCAUGCAAAUUCAUGAAGCAUUACAUAUUUUU